This is a long non-coding RNA of Piliocolobus tephrosceles (Ugandan red Colobus), 823 nucleotides long. RefSeq lists it as uncharacterized. The record is from RefSeq and is a predicted model, not a curated record. The transcript is spliced from 2 exons. NCBI's taxonomy places the organism in Eukaryota, Metazoa, Chordata, Mammalia, Primates, Cercopithecidae.
AGUAGAGAUGGGGUUUCACCAUGUUGGCCAGGCUGGUCUCCAACUCCUGACCUCUAGUGAUCCGCCCACCUCGGCCUCCCAGAGUGCUGGGAUUACAGGCGUGAGCCACUCUGCCUGGCCUAAGGGAUGUUUCUUCGAUUGAAUUACUGUACCUUAGAGAUAAUAUUCUGAAUAUGUGCAGAAGAAGAAAACUGUUCAUCUACAUUUACUUAAGAAUAUAAACCAAGUUGCAAUUACAAGAAAUUCUGAAGUUCAGGGAAGCGGUUACUACAAAAGGCUGAACUUGAAGGGAGUAAAGGUCAGUCGCAGCGAAGAAACUCCCUUUGUUGCCUUCUUGUGAGAAGUAGCUUGGUAAUGAGAGAAAGCUGCCACCAUCUGGCCUGGAUUCAGCAAACACCCUUCUCCUCAGGCGCCUGCCAAUAAGGCAAAGCCCAGAGUGAACGCAUCUCGCCAGGAGGAAAAGCAGAAUGUGAUGGACUGAGGGCGGUGGAAGUGAAGGUUCUCAGGAAGACUCAAAUCUCUCCACCCCAGCCCUUGGUCUAUAAUCGAUGCAAUGCUGUUGACUCAAAAGGGGGCCAAGGCAAAUACCGCAGGGAUAAUUCGGGAUGUGAAGCUUCUGGACCACCUCCACAAGAGGGCCAGCAUCACCCCCUGCUCAGUCCUGCUUUACAUCUGUGUGCUGAUUUGCAUGGGUGACAAUAAAGCAAUGGACUGCUAUGGGUGGCUCUUGGAAAGUUUUCUUUCACUUUACAAAACUUCAGCAGUGCUUUGUGACAGUGGACACUGAAGUACAUGGACUGAUGUAUUAAAACAAAACCAAAAC